This 604-nucleotide ribosomal RNA is filed under the name uncultured marine bacterium. RNAcentral describes it as "bacterial SSU rRNA". It matches the Rfam family "Bacterial small subunit ribosomal RNA", at positions 34 to 679 of the family's 1533-position model. The record is from RNAcentral.
CGCUGGCGGUAUGUUUAACACAUGCAAGUCGAACGAAAGCUUUAUGCUUUAGUGGCGAACGGGUGCGUAAUACGUGAGAAUCUGCCCUUAGGAGGAGAAUAACUUCUGGAAACGGUUGCUAAGUCUCCAUAUGCCGAGAGGUAAAAUAGUUUAUACUGCCUAGGGAUGAGCUCACGCCUGAUUAGCUUGUUGGUAAGGUAAUGGCUUACCAAGGCCACGAUCAGUAGCUGGUUUGAGAGAACGAUCAGCCACACUGGGACUGAGACACGGCCCAGACUCCUCCGGGAGGCAGCAGUGAGGAAUUUUCCGCAAUGGGCGAAAGCCUGACGGAGCAAUACCGCGUGAGGGAUGAAGGAUUUUGGUCUGUAAACCUCUUUUCUCAAGAAAGAAGUUCUGACGGUACUUGAGGAAUAAGCAUCGGCUAACUCCGUGCCAGCAGCCGCGGUAAUACGGGGGAUGCAAGCGUUAUCCGGAAUCAUUGGGCGUAAAGCGCCUGUAGGUUGUUUAAUAAGUCUGUUGUUAAAGACUAGGGCUCAACCCUAGGAAAGCAAUGGAAACUACUAGACUUGAGUAUGAUAGGGGUAGAGGGAAUUUCUAGUGUAGC